RNAcentral lists this unclassified non-coding RNA (307 nucleotides) under plant metagenome. RNAcentral's name for it is "partial contains 5.8S ribosomal RNA, internal transcribed spacer 2, and large subunit ribosomal RNA". The stretch from base 1 to 105 matches the Rfam family "5.8S ribosomal RNA", at positions 50 to 154 of the family's 154-position model. The record is from RNAcentral.
GAAAUGCGAUAAGUAGUGUGAAUUGCAGAAUUCAGUGAAUCAUCGAAUCUUUGAACGCACAUUGCGCCCCUCGGCAUUCCGUGGGGCAUGCCUGUUCGAGCGUCAUCUACACCCUCAAGCUCUGCUUGGUGUUGGGCGUCUGUCCCGCCUCCGCGCGCGGACUCGCCCCAAAUGCAUUGGCAGCGGUUCCUUGCCCCCCUCUUUGCGCAGCACAUUGCCAUUCGAGGCGGCGGCGGCCCGCGUCCAACAAGCUCAACCCCCCCGUCUUUGACCUCGGAUCAGGUAGGGAUACCCGUUGAACUUAAGC